UACAGAGGUCUCAAGCGUUGUUCGGAUUCAUUGGGCGUAAAGGGUGCGUAGGCGGCGCGGUAAGUCGGGUGUGAAAUCUUGGAGCUUAACUCCGAAACUGCAUUCGAUACUGCCGUGCUUGAGGACUGGAGAGGAGACUGGGAUUUACGGUGUAGCGGUGAAAUGCGUAGAUAUCGUAAGGAAGACCAGUGGCGAAGGCGGGUCUCUGGACAGUUCCUGACACUGAGGCACGAAGGCCAGGGGAGCAAACGGG
Molecule: ribosomal RNA, 253 nt
Filed under: uncultured bacterium
Lineage: Bacteria
Description: partial 16S ribosomal RNA
Rfam family: Bacterial small subunit ribosomal RNA
Source: RNAcentral